RNAcentral lists this long non-coding RNA (886 nucleotides) under Arabidopsis lyrata. RNAcentral's name for it is "long non-coding RNA (ALYR_LNC001297)". Lineage: Eukaryota; Viridiplantae; Streptophyta; Magnoliopsida; Brassicales; Brassicaceae. The record is from RNAcentral.
UUUCUUUGUGUCGACACAAUUUCUUCAUUUUUAUUACUACAUUUAAAGUUAUUACAUUACUAGGAUUCUGUUUUUUUUUUUGUUUAUAAUAAGAUUUUUAUUAAUAAACUUCUCAUAAACGGGCUUGGGCUAAGGCCCAUUACACGUAUGAAAACCAGUUACAAAAUAGGUUAAUCGGAAAAACCGCCGGAAAAGUGGAAAUGUUCGAUCGGAAGCAGAGUGGCGGACUCAAGAGUCACAGCUUUGCGGACGUAUACGAAGGAUCGAGAAACGCAGCCGGAAGAUUUCGGUUUCCGUCUGCAAACUCUCUCUGCUACCGCACCAACCCACCACAACUCUCCCAGAAAACUAGCUACUCCGACUCACCGGUUCCACGGUAUCUGUUCCAUGCCUAGCAACCCAUACACUAGGGUUUAACCCCUUCUCUGUCCGUGACUUCUCCGAUAAGAUGGUGCUCACAGUCUGAACCCUUGCCCCUGCAUCAGCCAUCUAAGAUCCGACUGGAUCUACAGUUAACCAUCUCGUCUAACAAAUGAAACCUACCGAAUCACCAUCAACUUCCAUCGUAGCCGCAACCACCAGAUCGACGGGUGAGCAAGAGGAACUCCAGAGCAUUCCUCGGCGUCCUCAUCCGUGGAACCAAGGCUGCAGAACUCCUCCACCGUCAAACAGGAGCAACGACCACAUCGAUGGGGAUUAUUCUCUUCACCGCUGACGGCAAAGAAUAGCGAGCUCUCUCUUGGACUACUGUAAAAAAACUUCGACAUGCGAUGAAAAUCUGCUACCCGAGAAAACUAGAUCGAGAUAUGGAAAAUCUUCUACAGGAGAGAGAGAAAUUUCCUCUCUCGAGGCAACGAUUGUGCCUUUUUCUGUUUUUUCUCCUUCU